This 331-nucleotide ribosomal RNA is filed under the name uncultured bacterium. Its description in RNAcentral is "bacterial SSU rRNA". It matches the Rfam family "Bacterial small subunit ribosomal RNA", at positions 568 to 898 of the family's 1533-position model. The record is from RNAcentral.
CGCGCAGGCGGCUCUGAAAGUCAGAUGUGAAAGCCCCGGGCUUAACCUGGGAACUGCAUUUGAUACUCUGGAGCUUGAGUACGGGAGAGGAUAGUGGAAUUCCCAGUGUAGAGGUGAAAUUCGUAGAUAUUGGGAAGAACACCGGUGGCGAAGGCGGCUAUCUGGACCGUAACUGACGCUGAGGCGCGAAAGCGUGGGGAGCAAACAGGAUUAGAUACCCUGGUAGUCCACGCCGUAAACGAUGUGCGCUAGACGUUGGAAGGCUUAGCCUUUCGGUGUCGCAGCUAACGCGAUAAGCGCACCGCCUGGGGAGUACGGCCGCAAGGUUAAA